UCUCAGAGAUUAAGCCAUGCAUGUCUAAGUACAUACCUUAAAACGGUGAAACCGCGAAUGGCUCAUUAAAUCAGCUAUGGUUCCUUAGAUCGUAAACGCUACAUGGAUAACUGUAGUAAUUCUAGAGCUAAUACAUGCCUUGAAUCCCUGACCCGAAAGGGGACGGGUGCAUUUAUUAGAACAGAACCAACCGGGUGCGGCCUGUGCUGUGCCUGUUACAUUCUGUGAUGACUCUGGAUAACUUUACUGAUCGCAGUCGGCCAUUUUGUGUCGGCGACGGAUCUUUCAAAUGUCUGCCCUAUCAAUUUGUUGGUAGGUGAUUUGCCUACCAUGAUGAUAACGGGUAACGGGGAAUCAGGGUUCGAUUCCGGAGAGGGAC
Molecule: ribosomal RNA, 379 nt
Filed under: Schistosoma sinensium
Lineage: Eukaryota; Metazoa; Platyhelminthes; Trematoda; Strigeidida; Schistosomatidae
Also listed under: 1 other name
Description: SSU rRNA
Rfam family: Eukaryotic small subunit ribosomal RNA
Source: RNAcentral